AAACGCCAGAGUGCUGCGUCGACUGCUCCGCCACCAUUUUAUACUUUACGAGAUCGCCAGAAUGUUGUACUAACGUUUGCAACUUUGCGUGCCUGCAACGUUUGAAAUUUCCAAAAAGCACGAGAUUGAUUUUUGCCACGCGGAUAAAGCCUUUUUUCGAAGAGAAACAAAAAUGAUAGCCGACCGCCUACCGAUAUAACAUAUUAAUAGAAUUAGCAGUAAAUUCUCCCUUAUCGGUCUUUGGAGUAAAACAGGAAAAACGAAGAACAGGGAUAAUAAGGUACCGCGCAUUUUUCAUUUUCCGUCAUUUCCUGCCUUGCGGAGUAAAUUGCAAUCGAGUAAUUGGACACUGAGCACGCGAUAAUGCCGAAUGAAGUCGGUAAUCGCUGUGCAAAUUCUUUCACUCGCUGUCGGUCCGUUGUGCGAAAUCAAAUUCUUCAUCGAAUCGAAUUUUUCCGAUACGUUGAUCGCAACGAGACAAAUUUAAAAAUAUUGGUCCGCUAAAGGUAUUACGAGAUUUCAAGGUCGUUAACAUUUUUUAAAUACGAAUACACAUCUACUUUAUUUAGGAAAUUAUCUAAAGUAAUCCGAGUUAUCUCCGAUAGAUUUUCGAAUACGAUCAAUGAACGAACGCGUCACGCUUCCGUGUGUCUUCCGAUAUCGUGGUGAUAUCACAAUAAACUUGACCACGAGUCAUUUGGAAAACUCGCAAAGAUAACAAUAUUUUGUAGAACUCCUUGAAACUAAACAGAUGUUACAUAGAAUUAUCUCUCGCUUAAAAAUAAGAUCUCCAGAAGAAUGUCUUUUCUUAUAUCCGUUGAUAUGAGAGAUAUUUAGGUGACCUAAUUUACUUAGUUCACUCCGCGCAAGUGUGAUCUCCAAAUAAAUUUCGUUUCGCAAUGGAAAGUGUAGUACGCGAGUGUGGUACAGGGAAGAGAAAUAAGUUGAGAAUAGAGUCAUCCCACAUUCAGCAUCAUCCCUCUGGUAUCGCGACGGUUAGAAAUGUUUGCGGUCGUUUGAAACGUUACACGUAAAUAUUUAUAAUUCGUAAUCGCAAACAUGUACACGAUAAACGAUAGCGGGCGCGUAUUUUUGACGAGGCCCGCGCACCGGAAAUUAUCUUUCAGUUUACGAAGCGUAAUCUACUCGAUUUUCAACUCUAUCUACGAUCAACCGUUCGAAGCGACGCGGACGAUCCGAUGCGUCAGACUAUUGUUACCACAACAGUGAGCGUGUUUGUUUUGGAAGCAUAAAGAAGCACGGCUGUAAGAACAUUCGAUCUGUGUUAUUGUUUAGCAGAGUAGAAGCGAUUAACGGAAGCGAAACGCCGUCGUUGCUAUGUUCAAUGCGUCGAUCGAUGGUUGUUGGAUAGAAAUAGAUGUCGAAGAAAAAUAGUCGUCAAGGUCGUCGAUACGAGGCAGUCUUUUUUCACGGCUUUCGCCUAAACUAGCCCGAAGAUGAAUCGCGGUGUACACCGAGCGAAAAGAAAGGCCCUCGAUCGCGCGACGAAGAAAAAAGACUUUGUUGGCAUUGUUGGGCGACGUUUGCACGGUCGAAUAUCGUACGAAACGAGUCGCGGCCGGCACCGUGAUCAGAAUUUUUAUGGAAUAGGCGGUGGCGAAUUCACGAAUGCGCGCGCGUUUCGCUUCCUGUUCAAGAUUUACGGUCGUCACAGAUGCACACUUCCGCCCACAUUCAAUGAAAGUUUCCGAGACAUUUGCACGCCAUUCGAUCGGGCUAACCCUAGCUUUCGUACCCAAUAACGAAUGCGGUUUCCUGUUGCUCGUUCCUUUGAUAAUGCGUCUCUCUCCGCAAAAUUAAGCAGACGCGUGUACGCGAUUAGAGCCAUUCGAACGGGAAACGGUUAAAACAUUCUACGCGGUUAAAUCGAGAAACAUAUUACAAGCACGAUUCCAUUAUUUCUUCGAUAAUUGCUUCUUCGUAGAAUUGUAUUCGAUAUUCGAGGCCGAUCGAGGAUCCUUGAUCGGCCAUCGGAAUCUGUGUCCGUUAAUUAUUGACAGUUCGCGCGUAUCGUUCGCUCGAUAUCGUAAUAAGGACGAUUAGGGCUCCUCCGGGUUAAGCAACAGCGCGAUAACGAGAUCGUUGAUAUUCAAUGACGACGUGCUGCAGGUGGCUAACUUAAUUCUUCCCCGUUAAUGACGGUUUCGUCCGUGAAACAAUGCCUGGCAUUGCGAGAUCGCGACAAUGUAACUGUUACGAUAAUGAAAACAACCGGCGCUAAUGACGCGGGAGACGGACGCGAUGCCAUGGGAAACCUUAAAAAAAAAAGGUCUGAAUUUCGUUCAAAUCGGAUCAACUGGAUUUUAACCGUGCACGAUUUAUAUUUUCCGACGAAUCGAAACCCUUCCCGUGCGAAACCUUGCACUUUAACCUUCGACGCCUUGUCAGCCGUAGCGUCUCUGUAAAUACACAAAUAUCUCUGUCGCGAAUGCACAGGAACCAUCCUCGCCCCUUCAGGGGUCGAGGAGUUUGAUCGCCGACUAGUGUAAACAUGAUCUGGGAUCGGAUUACUCGGCGAGACAAUUUAAUCCAGCGGUGAAACUUUUCUUUAUUAUUAACUCUUUUGUUAUAAAACUUUUACCAUCGUAUUUCUGAGAUUUUUCCGAUUAAAACGAGACGAAACACGACAUAAUUCGCGAUACACUUAUUGGUAACAAUUUAUUAUGUAUCAUAUAUUGUAGAACACUAAGAAAAGAGGAAUGGUACGUAUCGUCCGAAUUAUAUCGCGUUUGGUCUUCUUUUAAUUAGAAAAAUGUCAGGGAUACGACGGUAAAUGUUUUACAAUGAAAAAGUUAAUAGUAACAAAGUUUCAUCGUUGCGUCACAUUGUUUCACGGACGUGUCUCGUUGUUUUCGCUCCGUCCUCUUCUUAACUCGCUGUCCUUGUCUACGUUCGAAGCUCGUCGGCAAAUAUCAGAGAAUAUACGAUCGCGUAAACAUUUGCUCGGCGAUCGAACUCCUGGACCCCUCGAGAGAGGUUACACCCCCGAGUGGAAAAAUCAGCGUUGGAAAAAUCAGCGUUGGAAAAAUCCACGGUGAAGGAUAACGCGAAAGAGAGAGAAGCCAACAGAUUUGGAAGUUUGUAAAACGAAGAGUCUCGAGUACCGCUUCCGUACGAUGUAGAGAUGGUAUCCCUGGUUCGGGAGGUAUAUCUCCCGUCUUUUCUUGAGAUUCGUAGACGGUAAACCCUACGUCCAGGUCCAUUGUUGAAUUUCUGUCCGUGCCACCGGACGUACCAUUGGAACCAAAGAUAUUUAGAACCCUCCAGAAAUGGUUCGCGUGGUCGACAAUGGCGGGGGUAAUCUUUGCUGGCUAACGAAAACAAUCGUUCCGAGCGUUAGCGGAUUAUUCGUGAGCCUGAAGCCGAAACGCCGCACCGGUUAAUCCCCGAGGCCGGGGACACGGCCAGCAAGACGUUUAAAAAAGGAAGAGGAGUCGCGAAAAGCAAGGUUAAGAACAACCGCAACAGGAAAGGAGAAGAGGAACGUAGGAUGUAGGAUGAAGAAACGUAACGAGAGAUGAAAAGUAGCCGGAGCAGGGAACGGGGUAAGAGAGAAGGGAUUCACCUCGCGUCUGAGAACGACCCUUGGCGGAAAUGCAAUUUUGGUUCUUGUCUGGAGACGACGUCGCUACCUACCGCGGCUCAUCUCCGAGGCGUGACCCCUUUAAGAUCGUUCAAGACGCGGCCUCUCGUGCAGACAGACGUUCCUCUCUCCGGCAUGUUCCACGAGAUGAAAGGCUCCCGUUGCUAUCAAAGGGAAAGGGAAGAGAUGCAAAGGCCCCACCAGACAAUGGCCGUGAGCUGCAAGGUUUUCAGCCUCCGAUGUCUCUACGGCUCCAGAGGUUCGGUCUCGUCAUUUCAACUGGACCCGCCGACCAAUUUUCGCGUCUUUUACGGAUUAGAAUUAGACCAUUGUUGUUAUUAUAAUGGCCCCAGACUAUAGACGAUUCAGACUAUACGACACGGACCGUCACGUUCCGGCAACGACACGUACCGGCACGACGAAACAUUAAAACACGCGUUUUAAUGGAACUAUUCACACUAUUCCUGUUGACGGAACCUUCAGGUCGGUGUCUGUUAAGUGCGAAUAGUUCCAUUGAAACGCGUGUUUUAAUGUUUCGUCGUGUCGGUGGCGGUACGUGUCGUUGCCGGUCCGUGUCGUAUAGUCCGAAUCAACCUUUGCUCGUACGUAGAAAUGAAAAUGGGGAUGAUGUAUGUAUUACAUGAUACAUUCGUUUGGGUGAUACGAGAUCAAAGAAUACUCGUUAUCCUAUAAGAACAAUACCGAAGGGAGCGAUUUGUCGAUAUCCAUUUUACACCUUCUGUAGAUUAAAAUUCUGUAUUGUGUAAGGAUAUUUAUUUAGAGGUUCGGCGAAAACUGUCAAAAUUCCGAGACAACACGCAAUAUAUCAGAGAAAAUC
This is a long non-coding RNA of Hylaeus volcanicus, 4442 nucleotides long. RefSeq lists it as uncharacterized. NCBI's taxonomy places the organism in Eukaryota, Metazoa, Arthropoda, Insecta, Hymenoptera, Colletidae. The transcript is spliced from 3 exons. The record is from RefSeq and is a predicted model, not a curated record.